This 387-nucleotide ribosomal RNA is filed under the name uncultured bacterium. RNAcentral's name for it is "bacterial SSU rRNA". It matches the Rfam family "Bacterial small subunit ribosomal RNA", at positions 28 to 417 of the family's 1533-position model. The record is from RNAcentral.
GACGAACGCUGGCGGCGUGCUUAACACAUGCAAGUCGAGCGGUAAGGCCCUUUCGGGGGUACACGAGCGGCGAACGGGUGAGUAACACGUGGGUGACCUGCCCUUAGCUCUGGGAUAAGCCUGGGAAACUGGGUCUAAUACCGGAUAUGACUCCAUGACGCAUGUUGUGGGGUGGAAAGCCUUGUGCGGCUAGGGGAUGGGCCCGCGGCCUAUCAGCUUGUUGGUGGGGUGAUGGCCUACCAAGGCGACGACGGGUAGCCGGCCUGAGAGGGCGACCGGCCACACUGGGACUGAGACACGGCCCAGACUCCUACGGGAGGCAGCAGUGGGGAAUCUUGCGCAAUGGCGAAAGCCUGACGCAGCGACGCCGCGUGAGGAUGACGGCCU